UACGGAGGGAGCUAGCGUUAUUCGGAAUUACUGGGCGUAAAGCGCACGUAGGCGGCUUUGUAAGUAAGAGGUGAAAGCCCAGAGCUCAACUCUGGAAUUGCCUUUUAGACUGCAUCGCUUGAAUCAUGGAGAGGUCAGUGGAAUUCCGAGUGUAGAGGUGAAAUUCGUAGAUAUUCGGAAGAACACCAGUGGCGAAGGCGGCUGACUGGACAUGUAUUGACGCUGAGGUGCGAAAGCGUGGGGAGCAAACAGGAUGAGAUACCGU
This 265-nucleotide ribosomal RNA is filed under the name uncultured bacterium. RNAcentral describes it as "partial 16S ribosomal RNA". It matches the Rfam family "Bacterial small subunit ribosomal RNA", at positions 524 to 788 of the family's 1533-position model. The record is from RNAcentral.